This is a long non-coding RNA of Capsicum annuum, 848 nucleotides long. RefSeq lists it as uncharacterized. The record is from RefSeq and is a predicted model, not a curated record. Lineage: Eukaryota; Viridiplantae; Streptophyta; Magnoliopsida; Solanales; Solanaceae. The transcript has 2 exons.
GAAAAAAUUCAGUAAAAUAUGUUUUAACUUUUGGGUUAGUUUUAAUAGAUAAUGUCACUUUUUAUCUCUUUUUUAAACAUACGUCAUUCUUAAUAAAAAAAACUAAAAUGGAAUGUUGAAAUUAGGAGGAAUGUCAGUCGUAUAAAACCCCGUCAAUCCAAUGCCACUUCUCCACCACUCUCCCUUCAAAUUUCUUCAUCCAAAAAAUGACACGUGUCAAAGAAUUCUUCGUCGGAAUGUUAGAUUCCGGCAGGAACAUUGAUUUUUCUAAAAGAAAGAAGAAACUGUACUUGGCCAUUGUUGCCUCAGUCAUUCUUGUUGCUGCAGUCAUCGGAGUAGUCGCCGGAGUAAAAUCCCGUAAAAAUAACUCCGGUGACCAUGUAGACAUAUAUAAUGGGCAUUUCUCUGCAGCUCAUGCCAUAGUAAAGUUGCAUGUAGCAACACUCUACAUCCUGAACUGUGUUACUCUACAAUUGUAAAUGUUACUGAUUUCUCAAAGAAAGUAACAAGCCAAAAGGAUGUGAUUGCAUUGUCCUAGAAUAUCACUAUCAAGUCCGUUCGAAAGAACUUCUAUGCAGUCAAGAAACUCAUCCAAACUAGAAAAGAGAAAUGGUUAGUUUGAGCCAGCCAUGGAGAUCGGAGUGUGCAGGGCAAUGGCAUUAGGCUGAUGGCAAAAUAACAAGAUUCGUCCACGAAUUGGGGUUGGAAUUACGAGUUAUGAACUUCUAUUCGUGCUGAUGAAUUUCAACGAUGUAGAUGUCAAUAUUAACUAUUUUCUCUAACUAGAGUUGCAUUUUCCAUCUUCACCUUUAAAACCUCUUUGCAAAGAUUAUACAGGAUUAUUUCCU